GUGUUUAUUUUGCGGUACGCCUUAUAACAUGGAACACCGGUGCUGCGCUUGUCCGGGCAUGUGCAAAUGAUUUUAGCUCAGAAAAUAAUGAUUAUUCUACACAUCGCCCUUGCAGGUCUUAAUGGUAUUGUAGCGAUCCCAGUGGGCUGGGGAGGGAAAGAAUCAGGAUAGUAUAGCGUUAUAGUGACUGAAUACUAAGUCUGACCUUCUUCACUGUUCAUCCAAAAUCCAGUUAAAGCAGGUUUUAAGACAACCUCUGCUUUUUGCCAAUUUUAGGGUUGAUUAAUAUGAAACGCUAUCGUAAAUAUUAUUUCAAACAAAUAUCAAACUUACGUAUUAAGACGUCCUACGAUUUCUGUUUCCAUAUCUUGCUGACAGGUUCUAAUUAAUUUCUGUUUUAAAUAGAAAAUGAUUAUUGUGAUAUAGUAAGUUCCAAGUAAAGGAUCCUAGGAACGGCUACAUGUUUGACGUGAAGCCUCUGUUUUGGAAGGAUUAUGAAGUGAAUGAAGGCGAGUACAAGUAUCACUUUGGUGUGUGUGUGCCCCUCUGAAGGAGGGGGUAUGCACAGGCAAAACCCCAGAAGGUGUUGACCCUGUUUCAUCAUGUCAGGUUAAAUCUGGCAAAGAUGGCUUCCAAAAAGUAGCAGAACCUUACUUAUGAAGAUGGAUUGAUCACAAUCAACUAUACCAAGGGACAGAAGUGCCACACACUAUUGACGAAAGGUCUACUGCCAAAACGGUGAUAAAUACACCAGUCUGGGUGAGACAGAAACAGGCCCUCAGUUCUAGUCCUGAAAUACAUCAAUGGAGAUCUGUGUCCAGGUGGACAUCGCAAUAAAACAACCAUAAUAUGCUUCAAAUGUGAUGAAGACAAAGUGGAUUCAAAGCCAACACUGAUUACUGCAACUGAAGAUUUUGUCUAUUCACUCAUGUGGUUCGCCACUGCUGGCUGCCCUCUGAAAAGCAAUGUGCAUGGAGACUGCAAAGUAACCAACCUUGUUACUGAUGAGAUGACCUAUGUGAACUAUUCCAAAGGUGACGAUAUGUAUCGCAAAGGUAUUUAGGCUAAAACGAUUGUGCAGCUGGAAUAUGCAAAUACAUUUGGAACACCCACUCUUCUUAAGUGAAAAACUAGUGCAGUAGCCCAAUAUGCCAUGUUUUGUGAAGCCACAGGAGGUCAGAAUAGUGGAUGAGACCAUCACAAUUCCAGUGACAGGGUUCAACUUAGAUCUUUGGACAUCUUUUUCGGGCUCCCUGCUGAUAAUACCCUGGUUCUAGAGGCAUGUUUUCCUUUUAGAUUAUACAAUGCGUCGGGUGAUAUCUGGCCAAAUGGAGACAAGUACGUCUAUGAAAUCCAGCUCUCAGGAAUUACACAUUCUUCAUCAAAGCACACAUCGGAGCCAAUAUCUGCCAAGUGAAAAUCAACAUGGUUUUCAACCGACAGAUCAAGUAGAGCCAAAUACUUUGUUAAAGAUGAUAAUCUAGAUGUGCCGAUUCCCUCCGACUCUCCUUGUGGUCGAGACAAAUCCAAGAAAGUCACCUCUACCAUACUGUUCCACUGUAACCCAUCAGCUGGAGUGGGCACCCCAUAAUUUCUUCAUGAGCGUGACGACUGCCAGUACCUUUGGCACACUGUGGUAGCUUGUGAUCAGUGAACACAGAUGAGGACGGAGGAGAGGAUGAGACAGAGUGGCUGAUGGAAGAGAUAGCAGAGCCCAAUUCCAGGCCAUCCAAUGAGAGCCAGGAAAACAGGCACAUCAACACCAAGAUGGUCAACUCAGAUACUUUAAGCUCCUUCCACCUGGAUGAGCAAGACAGCAAGGAUGGCCCUGACGUCCUGGUCCACUCGGGCUGCCCACUUCAAAAGCAAUCACAAGCCUGCCAGCACAAGAAGGCCAUGACGAGGAGGCCCUUCAUGGACGAGAGUGACGAAGACUUGGUGGGACUCCUGGGUGAGGACAAGGAAAGGAAGGCCAGACCCAAGCAGAGAGAGAAUCUGCCACCACAUGUGACUUCAUUCCAUGAUGACAGUGAUGAGGACUUGCUGAAGGUUUAACUCCAAUUUGAUGUGCCUGCCCUCCAGCAGGGUGAUGGGACACCUACAUACUCCUGCCUACUUGCCUGGGAUAACCAGAGUCUGUCAGAACUGCCCUGACCAAAUGUUUCUAUAACAUGCCAAAAAAUAAACGAAAAAAAAUUAAGGGAAUACAAAACAAAGUGUGCUUGUUCUACUACCACAGUACUACGUUUUAUAGAGGGUGAAAUCAAAUUAUUUCAGUAUAUCUCUCCCGUCUGGCUGGCUGUAUUUUGCACACAGUCACGGGACUUACGAGCGAGGUUAGAGCUUCAGGAACCCUCACAGUACUGCUGAACACUUCCCGCCACUUUUCUUUAACUGCGGUUGGACUAUAUUAUUUUGUGUAAAGAAAGCCUGCUAUAUGUUCUGUUUCUGAGAUGCAAAAAAAAAAAAAAAAAAAAAAAGACACUUUUUGGUGUCUGUUAAUGUCAUGUAUCAGCUGGAGCGCACAGCACACAGUGCCUGAGUUACUGAUUUGCAAUUUAAUCAGAUGCCAUUUUUGAUUUAUAUGAAUGGUUUUUUUUUUUUUUUUUUUUUUCCUAGCACCAUUAGUUUUACACAGAGCUACACUGGACUUAAAAGGGGACCUUGUAUCUUUUAAUUUGACUUUUCACAGUUUCUGUCAUUCAAUUUGUUUUGCUUUUUUACGCUGUUUAUGUUAUUUUGAAAACAACAGAGGGUGUAUAUGGUCACUGGGACAUCGUAAGCUUACAGGAUCUUACACUAUGUAUAUGGUUGUAAGUUGGCAAUGUAUUUUUACAUGACCCUGGCAGAAGCACCAUGUUUUCGAGUUAUUUAAAACUGAUGUUACUAGCUGAAGCCCAGUGGAAUCUUACAGUACUGGUUAAUGUCUCUGGCCGUCCAUUAUUUGUGACAAACUACAAUAGGUUACUUUGAAACACCAACUCAGCUACACUAGUAAAUAUCUUGUCUUUUUAUUGGGAAAUGUGCAGCACUGGUGGUUUACAUUGCACCAGGUCGCAAAAAGGUUAAAGCUGUCAUUUGAACAGCCGACCGUGGACGGGAGCUCCCAGGAGGUGGCACUCAAUUGGAUGAGUGUCGACUACAGCGACCCCUGUAGUCUGGCCGGGUGCCGGUGGGCUUGCCUGUUAGCUGCCCGGGAGCUGCGUUGUCCUCCUAUGA
This is a long non-coding RNA of Polyodon spathula (Mississippi paddlefish), 3219 nucleotides long. RefSeq lists it as uncharacterized. The transcript is spliced from 8 exons. The record is from RefSeq and is a predicted model, not a curated record. Lineage: Eukaryota; Metazoa; Chordata; Actinopteri; Acipenseriformes; Polyodontidae.